GCCUCAGUAACGGCGAGUGAAGCGGCAACAGCUCAAAUUUGAAAUCUGGCACCCCUCCCGGGGGGGGCCCGAGUUGUAAUUUGCAGAGGAUGCCCUUGGCGAGGCGCCUUCCGAGUUCCCUGGAACGGGACGCCGCAGAGGGUGAGAGCCCCGUAGCGGUCGGUCGCCACAGCCUGUGUAGGGCUCCUUCGAAGAGUCGAGUAGUUUGGGAAUGCUGCUCAAAGCGGGAGGUAAAUCUCUUCUAAAGCUAAAUACCUGCCAGAGACCGAUAGCGCACAAGUAGCGUGAGCGAAAGAUGAAAAGCACUCUGGAGAGAGGGUCAAACAGUACGUGAAAUUGUUGAAAGGGAAGCGCUAGCGGCCAGACGUGGGCCGGCGGCUCCCCCGGCGUUCUUCGCCGGUCCGCUCCGCCCGGCCCAGGCCAGCAUCGGUUUCCGCGGGGGGAUAAGGGGUGGUGGGAACGUGGCUCCCCCUUCGGGGGGGGUGUUAUAGCCCGCCCCUCGAUGCCCCCGUGGGGACCGAGGAUGCCGCGCCCUCGUGCGAGGAUGCUGGCGUAAUGGCCGCUAACGACCCGUCUUGAAACACGGACCAAGGAGUCGUCCACUGGAGCGAGCGUUAGGGUGUAAAACCCGGUACGCGUAAUGAAAGUAACAGGUGAGAGCCUCGGCGCAUCAUCGACCGAUCCUGAAGUGCUCGGAUGGAUUUGAGUAGGAGUUCCAGCGGACGGACCCGAAAGACAGUGAACUAUGCCUGUAUAGGGUGAAGCCAGAGGAAACUCUGGUGGAGGCUCGCAGCGGUUCUGACGUGCAAAUCGAUCGUCAAAUAUGGGCAUGGGGGCGAAAGACUAAUCGAACUGU
Molecule: ribosomal RNA, 856 nt
Filed under: Tirisporella beccariana
Lineage: Eukaryota; Fungi; Ascomycota; Sordariomycetes; Tirisporellales; Tirisporellaceae
Description: partial large subunit ribosomal RNA
Rfam family: Eukaryotic large subunit ribosomal RNA
Source: RNAcentral